This 253-nucleotide ribosomal RNA is filed under the name uncultured bacterium. RNAcentral's name for it is "partial 16S ribosomal RNA". It matches the Rfam family "Bacterial small subunit ribosomal RNA", at positions 524 to 776 of the family's 1533-position model. RNAcentral also lists the same sequence under 1 other name. The record is from RNAcentral.
GACGAACCGUGCGAACGUUGUUCGGAAUCACUGGGCUUAAAGGGCGCGUAGGCGGCUUGCCAAGUCAGUGGUGAAAUCCUGCAGCUUAACUGCAGAAGUGCCUUUGAUACUGGCGAGCUCGAGGGAGGUAGGGGUAUGUGGAACUUCUGGUGGAGCGGUGAAAUGCGUUGAUAUCAGAAGGAACGCCGGUGGCGAAAGCGACGUACUGGACCUCUUCUGACGCUGAGGCGCGAAAGCUAGGGGAGCAAACGGG